GUAUGGUGCAAGCGUUAUCCGGAUUUACUGGGUGUAAAGGGAGCGCAGGCGGUGCGGCAAGUCUGAUGUGAAAGCCCGGGGCUUAACCCCGGUACUGCAUUGGAAACUGUCGUACUAGAGUGUCGGAGGGGUAAGCGGAAUCCCUAGUGUAGCGGUGAAAUGCGUAGAUAUUAGGAGGAACACCAGUGGCGAAGGCGGCCUGCUGGACUGUUACUGACACUGAGGCACGAAAGCGUGGGGAGCAAACAGGAUUAGAUACCCUGAUAGUCCACGCCGUAAACGAUGAAUACUAGGUGUCGGGGCCGUAUAGGCUUCGGUGCCGCCGCAAACGCAGUAAGUAUUCCACCUGGGGAGU
This 355-nucleotide ribosomal RNA is filed under the name uncultured bacterium. RNAcentral's name for it is "bacterial SSU rRNA". It matches the Rfam family "Bacterial small subunit ribosomal RNA", at positions 527 to 881 of the family's 1533-position model. The record is from RNAcentral.